GACAAGAAAUAACAAUACGGGGCUUAAAGUCUUGUAAUUGGAAUGAUGGGAAUUUAAACCUCUUCCAGAGUAUCAAUUGGAGGGCAAGUCUGGUGCCAGCAGCCGCGGUAAUUCCAGCUCCAAUAGCGUAUAUUAAAAUUGUUGCAGUUAAAAAGCUCGUAGUUGAAUUUCUGCUGCAUUGCUUGUGUCCCUCUUGGGUCUGUGCAUGUGGCUUUUUUCGGACGGAGUUUCUUUGUCUGAAUGUUUACUUUGAGAAAAUUAGAGUGCUCAAAGCAGGCUUUCGCCUUGAAUAGUUUAGCAUGGAAUAAUAAAGUAGGACUUUGGUUCUAUUUUGUUGGUUUUAGGUACCAAAGUAAUGGUUAAUAGGAACAGUUGGGGGCAUUCGUAUUUAACUGUCAGAGGUGAAAUUCUUAG
This 414-nucleotide ribosomal RNA is filed under the name Theileria annulata. RNAcentral's name for it is "SSU rRNA". It matches the Rfam family "Eukaryotic small subunit ribosomal RNA", at positions 469 to 923 of the family's 1831-position model. Lineage: Eukaryota; Apicomplexa; Aconoidasida; Piroplasmida; Theileriidae. The record is from RNAcentral.